GAACAAUGUAGGCAAGGGAA
RNAcentral lists this small nuclear RNA (20 nucleotides) under Arabidopsis thaliana (thale cress). RNAcentral's name for it is "snRNA_05827". The record is from RNAcentral. Lineage: Eukaryota; Viridiplantae; Streptophyta; Magnoliopsida; Brassicales; Brassicaceae.